AAGCAAACACAAGAGAUGGCAGGAAAAGUAGGGCCAGUGGCAGAUUUUGUGGAAAGAGCUCUAGCUUAUGAAUCAAUCGAGGUUGGGAACUAUUUGAAGACGGUCGAACUAUUGAGCUCACAUCAGUUUGGAUUCAAGGAUGUUGUUGCUCAAACCAAAGCUUAAUGUACUUCUUAGCUUGGUCGGCUUGCAUUACAGUAUCAUUUGCUUGAAAUCCCGUAUAUAUGGUGAAGGUAAAGAAGACAACAUUGGACAUAUUGGUUGAUGCAUCACAUAUUGAAGGAACGAAGGAGCAACAAGUGUUAACUCAUUUGAAUGUUAGGAUUGGACUUAUUUGGUAAUGGAUCGACAAAUGUUAACUCAUUUUAAUUAUAGUUAUUGUUAGGAUUUAACUUAUUUUGUAAUGGAUGUGGUAGAAUUGAUUGAAUUGAAUUUGAGUUGUAAUGAAUGUUGAAAUUUUAAUCAUGAUUAUGUUAUAAAUGAAAAUAA
Molecule: long non-coding RNA, 489 nt
Organism: Salvia miltiorrhiza (redroot sage)
Lineage: Eukaryota; Viridiplantae; Streptophyta; Magnoliopsida; Lamiales; Lamiaceae
Exons: 2
Source: RefSeq, a predicted model, not a curated record